UGGCUCAGUUGGUAGAGCAUGGUGUUUGCAACACCAGAGUUGUGGGUUUGAUUCCCAC
This 58-nucleotide transfer RNA is filed under the name Salmo salar (Atlantic salmon). It matches the Rfam family "tRNA", at positions 8 to 63 of the family's 71-position model. From Rfam's summary of the family: Transfer RNA (tRNA) molecules are approximately 80 nucleotides in length. Their secondary structure includes four short double-helical elements and three loops (D, anti-codon, and T loops). The record is from Rfam by way of RNAcentral. Lineage: Eukaryota; Metazoa; Chordata; Actinopteri; Salmoniformes; Salmonidae.